This 460-nucleotide ribosomal RNA is filed under the name uncultured marine microorganism. RNAcentral describes it as "bacterial SSU rRNA". It matches the Rfam family "Bacterial small subunit ribosomal RNA", at positions 355 to 830 of the family's 1533-position model. The record is from RNAcentral.
UGGGGAAUUUUCCGCAAUGGGGGAAAGCCUGACGGAGCAAUACCGCGUGAGGGAGGAAUGCCUUUGGGUUGUAAACCUCUUUUCUCAGGGAAGAAGAUCUGACGGUACCUGAGGAAUAAGUAUCGGCUAACUCCGUGCCAGCAGCCGCGGUAAUACGGAGGAUGCAAGCGUUACCCGGAAUCAUUGGGCGUAAAGCGUCCGCAGGUGGUUUCCAAAGUCUGCUGUUAAAGACUGGAGCUCAACUCCGGAACGGCGGUGGAAACUUGGAAACUAGAGUUCGGUAGGGGUAGCAGGAAUUCCCUGUGUAGCGGUGAAAUGCGUAGAUAUUGGGAAGAACAUCGGUGGCGAAGGCGUGCUACUGGACCGUAACUGACACUCAGGGACGAAAGCUAGGGGAGCGAAAGGGAUUAGAUACCCCUGUAGUCCUAGCUGUAAACGAUGGAAACUAGGUGUGGCUUGA